This 492-nucleotide ribosomal RNA is filed under the name uncultured bacterium. RNAcentral's name for it is "partial 16S ribosomal RNA". It matches the Rfam family "Bacterial small subunit ribosomal RNA", at positions 29 to 507 of the family's 1533-position model. The record is from RNAcentral.
AUUGAACGCUGGCGGCAUGCUUUACACAUGCAAGUCGAACGGUAACAGGCCUUCGGGUGCUGGCGAGUGGCGAACGGGUGAGUAAUGCAUCGGAACGUACCCAGAGGUGGGGGAUAACGCAGCGAAAGCUGUGCUAAUACCGCAUGUGAUCUGAGGAUGAAAGCGGGGGACCGAGCAGCAAUGUUUGGCCUCGCGCCUUUGGAGCGGCCGAUGUCGGAUUAGCUAGUUGGUGGGGUAAAGGCCUACCAAGGCGACGAUCCGUAGCUGGUCUGAGAGGACGACCAGCCACACUGGGACUGAGACACGGCCCAGACUCCUACGGGAGGCAGCAGUGGGGAAUUUUGGACAAUGGGCGAAAGCCUGAUCCAGCAAUGCCGCGUGCGGGAAGAAGGCCUUCGGGUUGUAAACCGCUUUUGGCAGGAACGAAACGGUGUCCGCUAAUACCGGGCGCUAAUGACGGUACCUGCAGAAUAAGCACCGGCUAACUACGUG